UUUAGAAAGAUUUUAUGCUUUUUUUUCAUAUUCAAAUUGCCAAGUGAUUAUAUUAUAUAGUAUGAUGAAUACCAAGGUUCCAAAGUCCAAAACAUGAGUAAGCAGCCUUUUUCCGCAGAAAAAUGAGCGGAUUACAAAUGUCUUGCAAAAUUGCGGAAGUGCGAAGCACGGAGCAUUCGGUAUCUUAA
This 188-nucleotide small RNA is filed under the name Clostridium sp. CAG:43. Its description in RNAcentral is "Clostridiales-1 RNA". It matches the Rfam family "Clostridiales-1 RNA". The record is from Rfam by way of RNAcentral. Lineage: Bacteria; Bacillati; Bacillota; Clostridia; Eubacteriales; Clostridiaceae.